GACGAACGCUGGCGGCGUGCUUAACACAUGCAAGUCGAACGGAAAGGCCCUGCUUUUGUGGGGUGCUCGAGUGGCGAACGGGUGAGUAACACGUGAGUAACCUGCCCUUGACUUUGGGAUAACUUCAGGAAACUGGGGCUAAUACCGGAUAGGAGCUCCUGCUGCAUGGUGGGGGUUGGAAAGUUUCGGCGGUUGGGGAUGGACUCGCGGCUUAUCAGCUUGUUGGUGGGGUAGUGGCUUACCAAGGCUUUGACGGGUAGCCGGCCUGAGAGGGUGACCGGCGACAUUGGGACUGAGAUACGGCGCAGACUCCUACGGGAGGCAGCAGUGGGGAAUCUUGCACAAUGGGGGGAAGUCUGAUGCAGCGACGCCGCGUGCGGGAUGACGGCCUUCGGGUUGUAAACAGCUUUCGCCUGUGACGAAGCGUGAGUGACGGUACUGGGUAAAGAAGCACCGGCUAACUACGUG
This 468-nucleotide ribosomal RNA is filed under the name uncultured bacterium. RNAcentral describes it as "partial 16S ribosomal RNA". It matches the Rfam family "Bacterial small subunit ribosomal RNA", at positions 28 to 507 of the family's 1533-position model. The record is from RNAcentral.